RNAcentral lists this transfer RNA (72 nucleotides) under Vicugna pacos (alpaca). Its description in RNAcentral is "tRNA-Ala (GGC) (tRNA-Ala-GGC-17-1)". It matches the Rfam family "tRNA". From Rfam's summary of the family: Transfer RNA (tRNA) molecules are approximately 80 nucleotides in length. Their secondary structure includes four short double-helical elements and three loops (D, anti-codon, and T loops). Further hydrogen bonds mediate the characteristic L-shaped molecular structure. tRNAs have two regions of fundamental functional importance: the anti-codon, which is responsible for specific mRNA codon recognition, and the 3' end, to which the tRNAs corresponding amino acid is attached (by aminoacyl-tRNA synthetases). tRNAs cope with the degeneracy of the genetic code in two manners: having more than one tRNA (with a specific anti-codon) for a particular amino acid; and 'wobble' base-pairing, i.e. permitting non-standard base-pairing at the 3rd anti-codon position. Lineage: Eukaryota; Metazoa; Chordata; Mammalia; Artiodactyla; Camelidae. The record is from Rfam by way of RNAcentral.
GAGGGUGUAGCUCAGUGGUAGAGUGUGUGCUUGGCAUGCACGAGGUCCUGGGUUCAAUCCCCAGUACCUCCA